UACGGGGGGGGCAAGCGUUGUUCGGAAUUACUGGGCGUAAAGGGCUCGUAGGCGGCCAACUAAGUCGGACGUGAAAUCCCCAGGCUCAACCUGGGAACUGCGUCUGAUACUGGAUGGCUUGAAUCCGGGAGAGGGAUGCAGAAUUCCAGGUGUAGCGGUGAAAUGCGUAGAUAUCAGGAGGAACACCGGUGGCGAAGGCGCUCAUCUGGCCCAAUACUGACGCUGAAGCGCGAAAGCUAGGGGAGCAAACGGG
This 253-nucleotide ribosomal RNA is filed under the name uncultured bacterium. Its description in RNAcentral is "partial 16S ribosomal RNA". It matches the Rfam family "Bacterial small subunit ribosomal RNA", at positions 524 to 776 of the family's 1533-position model. The record is from RNAcentral.